RNAcentral lists this ribosomal RNA (468 nucleotides) under uncultured Bacteroidota bacterium. Its description in RNAcentral is "bacterial SSU rRNA". It matches the Rfam family "Bacterial small subunit ribosomal RNA", at positions 355 to 822 of the family's 1533-position model. The record is from RNAcentral. Lineage: Bacteria; Pseudomonadati; Bacteroidota.
UAGGGAAUAUUGGGCAAUGGACGCAAGUCUGACCCAGCCAUGCCGCGUGCAGGAUGAAGGCCUUCUGGGUUGUAAACUGCUUUUAUCUAGGAAGAAAACGCCCAUGCGUGGGAAACUGACGGUACUAGAUGAAUAAGCACCGGCUAACUCCGUGCCAGCAGCCGCGGUAAUACGGAGGGUGCAAGCGUUGUCCGGAUUUAUUGGGUUUAAAGGUGCGUAGGCGGCCCGGUAAGUCAGUGGUGAAAGCCUCCAGCUCAACUGGAGAACUGCCAUUGAUACUGCCGGGCUUGAGUACAGACGAGGUUGGCGGAAUUGAUUGUGUAGCGGUGAAAUGCAUAGAUACAAUCAAGAACUCCGAUUGCGUAGGCAGCUAACUAGGCUGUAACCGACGCUGAGGCACGAAAGCGUGGGGAGCGAACAGGAUUAGAUACCCUGGUAGUCCACGCUGUAAACGAUGAUUACUCGAUG